GCCCGGGUGGCUCAGUGGUUGGGCGCCUGCCUUUGGCUCAGGUCAUGAUCCUGGGAUUGGGGAUCGAAUCCCUCAUCGGGCU
RNAcentral lists this transfer RNA (82 nucleotides) under Canis lupus familiaris (dog). It matches the Rfam family "tRNA". Rfam says of the family: Transfer RNA (tRNA) molecules are approximately 80 nucleotides in length. Their secondary structure includes four short double-helical elements and three loops (D, anti-codon, and T loops). Lineage: Eukaryota; Metazoa; Chordata; Mammalia; Carnivora; Canidae. RNAcentral also lists the same sequence under 2 other names. The record is from Rfam by way of RNAcentral.